GGAGAGAUGGCCGAGCGGCCGAAGGCGCUCGAUUGCUAAUCGAGUAUCCUGCAAAACGGGAUCGAGGGUUCGAAUCCCUCUCUCUCCGCCG
Molecule: transfer RNA, 91 nt
Filed under: Myxococcales bacterium
Lineage: Bacteria; Pseudomonadati; Myxococcota; Myxococcia; Myxococcales
Description: tRNA-Ser
Rfam family: tRNA
About the family: Transfer RNA (tRNA) molecules are approximately 80 nucleotides in length.
Source: RNAcentral